RNAcentral lists this ribosomal RNA (400 nucleotides) under uncultured bacterium. RNAcentral describes it as "bacterial SSU rRNA". It matches the Rfam family "Bacterial small subunit ribosomal RNA", at positions 355 to 747 of the family's 1533-position model. The record is from RNAcentral.
UGGGGAAUCUUGCUCAAUGGGCGAAAGCCUGAAGCAGCGACGCCGCGUGGAGGAUGAAGGUCUUCGGAUUGUAAACUUCUGUUAAGUGGGAAAAAAUACUUUUUGCUAAUAUCAAAAAGGGAUGAUUGUACCACUAGAGAAAGCACUGGCUAAUCUCGUGCCAGCAGCCGCGGUAAUACGAGAGGUGCAAGCGUUAUUCGGAAUCAUUGGGCGUAAAGGGUGCGUAGACGGCAUUAUAAGUCUGUUGUUAAAAUUCUUGGCCUAACUGAGAGUCUGCAAUGGAUACUGUUUUGCUAGAGGGUGAGAGAGAGAAGUGGAAUUCUCGGAGUAGCGGUCAAAUGCGUAGAUCUCGAGAGGAACACCGAUGGCGAAGGCAGCUUCUUGGCUCACUUCUGACGUU